ACUCCUACGGGAGGCAGCAGUGGGGAAUAUUGCACAAUGGGCGCAAGCCUGAUGCAGCCAUGCCGCGUGUGUGAAGAAGGCCUUCGGGUUGUAAAGCACUUUCAGUCGUGAGGAAGGUAGUGUAGUUAAUAGCUGCAUUAUUUGUACGUUAGCGACAGAAGAAGCACCGGCUAACUCCGUGCCAGCAGCCGCGGUAAUACGGAGGGUGCGAGCGUUAAUCGGAAUUACUGGGCGUAAAGCGCAUGCAGGUGGUUUGUUAAGUCAGAUGUGAAAGCCCGGGGCUCAACCUCGGAAUUGCAUUUGAAACUGGCAGACUAGAGUACUGUAGAGGGGGUAGAAUUUCAGGUGUAGCGGUGAAAUGCGUAGAGAUCUGAAGG
This 377-nucleotide ribosomal RNA is filed under the name uncultured bacterium. RNAcentral's name for it is "bacterial SSU rRNA". It matches the Rfam family "Bacterial small subunit ribosomal RNA", at positions 335 to 704 of the family's 1533-position model. The record is from RNAcentral.